GUGCUCAUUUCUGGUUCUGCACAAAAGAGCCACAUUUCCUUUUGGAACCGGGACCAGGAGACAGACAGCAGCAGACAUUGGAAGUUGUUGUGAAGAUUUGAGACUGUGAA
RNAcentral lists this long non-coding RNA (110 nucleotides) under Lynx canadensis (Canada lynx). Its description in RNAcentral is "lncRNA (ENSLCNG00005014342.1)". Lineage: Eukaryota; Metazoa; Chordata; Mammalia; Carnivora; Felidae. The record is from RNAcentral.